This 2007-nucleotide ribosomal RNA is filed under the name Enterococcus faecium. RNAcentral's name for it is "partial 23S ribosomal RNA". It matches the Rfam family "Bacterial large subunit ribosomal RNA", at positions 132 to 2149 of the family's 2925-position model. The record is from RNAcentral. Lineage: Bacteria; Bacillati; Bacillota; Bacilli; Lactobacillales; Enterococcaceae.
CAUCUUUAAUAGGAUGUUACGAUUGUGUGAAUACAUAGCACAUUCGAGGUAGACGCAGAGAACUGAAACAUCUAAGUACCUGCAGGAAGAGAAAGAAAAUUCGAUUCCCUGAGUAGCGGCGAGCGAAACGGGAAAAGCCCAAACCAACAAGCUUGCUUGUUGGGGUUGUAGGACUCCAAUAUGGUCGUUCUUUCAGAUAGUCGAAUGACUUGGAAAAGUCAGUCAAAGAGGGUAAAAACCCCGUAGACGAAAUGUGGAAGACACCUAGGAGGAUCCUGAGUACGGCGGAACACGAGAAAUUCCGUCGGAAUCCGGGAGGACCAUCUCCCAAGGCUAAAUACUCCCUAGUGACCGAUAGUGAACCAGUACCGUGAGGGAAAGGUGAAAAGCACCCCGGAAGGGGAGUGAAAUAGAACCUGAAACCGUGUGCCUACAACAAGUCAAAGCCCGUUAAUGGGUGAUGGCGUGCCUUUUGUAGAAUGAACCGGCGAGUUACGAUUGCAUGCGAGGUUAAGUUGAAGAGACGGAGCCGCAGCGAAAGCGAGUCUGAAUAGGGCGUUUGAGUAUGUAGUCGUAGACCCGAAACCAUGUGAUCUACCCAUGUCCAGGUUGAAGGUGCGGUAAAACGCACUGGAGGACCGAACCCACGUACGUUGAAAAGUGCGGGGAUGAGGUGUGGGUAGCGGAGAAAUUCCAAACGAACUUGGAGAUAGCUGGUUCUCUCCGAAAUAGCUUUAGGGCUAGCCUCGGAAUUGAGAAUGAUGGAGGUAGAGCACUGUUUGGACUAGGGGCCCAUCUCGGGUUACCGAAUUCAGAUAAACUCCGAAUGCCAUUCAUUCAUAUCCGGGAGUCAGACUGUGAGUGAUAAGAUCCAUAGUCGAAAGGGAAACAGCCCAGACCACCAGCUAAGGUCCCAAAAUAUAUGUUAAGUGGAAAAGGAUGUGGGGUUGCACAGACAACUAGGAUGUUGGCUUAGAAGCAGCCACCAUUUAAAGAGUGCGUAAUAGCUCACUAGUCGAGUGACCCUGCGCCGAAAAUGUACCGGGGCUAAACAUAUUACCGAAGCUGUGGAGUACACCUUUAGGUGUAUUGGUAGGAGAGCGUUCUAAGGGCGUCGAAGGCAGAUCGUGAGGACUGCUGGAGCGCUUAGAAGUGAGAAUGCCGGUAUGAGUAGCGAAAGACAGGUGAGAAUCCUGUCCACCGAAUGACUAAGGUUUCCUGGGGAAGGCUCGUCCGCCCAGGGUUAGUCGGGACCUAAGCCGAGGCCGAUAGGCGUAGGCGAUGGAUAACAGGUUGAUAUUCCUGUACCCGUUGUUUUUGUUUGAGCAAUGGAGGGACGCAGGAGGCUAAGGAAUGCAGACGAUCGGAAAUGUCUGUCCAAGCAGUAAGUCUGAAGAGGAGUCAAAUGCUUCUUUUCUUAAGGACAAGCUGUGAUGGGGAGGGAAAUAAUAGUACCGAAGUUCCUGAUGUCACACUGCCGAGAAAAGCUUCUAGUGAGAAAACAGCGGCCCGUACCGCAAACCGACACAGGUAGUCGAGGAGAGAAUCCUAAGGUGAGCGAGAGAACUCUCGUUAAGGAACUCGGCAAAAUGACCCCGUAACUUCGGGAGAAGGGGUGCUGAUCAUACGAUCAGCCGCAGUGAAUAGGCCCAAGCGACUGUUUAUCAAAAACACAGGUCUCUGCAAAAUCGUAAGAUGAAGUAUAGGGGCUGACGCCUGCCCGGUGCUGGAAGGUUAAGAGGAGUGCUUAGCGCAAGCGAAGGUACGAAUUGAAGCCCCAGUAAACGGCGGCCGUAACUAUAACGGUCCUAAGGUAGCGAAAUUCCUUGUCGGGUAAGUUCCGACCCGCACGAAAGGCGUAACGAUUUGGGCACUGUCUCAACGAGAGACUCGGUGAAAUUUUAGUACCUGUGAAGAUGCAGGUUACCCGCGACAGGACGGAAAGACCCCAUGGAGCUUUACUGUAGUUUGAUAUUGAGUGUCUGUACCGCAUGUACAGGAUAGGUA